Molecule: long non-coding RNA, 221 nt
Filed under: Zostera marina
Lineage: Eukaryota; Viridiplantae; Streptophyta; Magnoliopsida; Alismatales; Zosteraceae
Description: long non-coding RNA (ZMAR_LNC004304)
Source: RNAcentral
CAGUUAAAUUCGGAAAACAUUUGUAUAGUAUUACAAAUUCCGAAAAUAGGAUUAUUGCAUAAGGAAAUAGAGAACAUAAUGCGUACUCUAUUACUUUUGACCAAACUACCUCAUCUCAUGAUCAUUGCAUGAUAGCAACCAGUUAGGGUAUCAAACGAGCCAAGCCGAGCUUUUGCUUAUAGAGCCAGGCUCGGGUCGUUAAGAUUUCAUCUGGGCUCGGG